UAUUAGCCCCGAUAGCAGUGGAAAUCCUUUUACUUUUUCUUUUAAAAGUAAAAGAUUGCAACGAAUAGCGGGAGGGGAG
This 79-nucleotide small RNA is filed under the name Flavobacterium granuli. RNAcentral describes it as "Flavo-1 RNA". It matches the Rfam family "Flavo-1 RNA". The record is from RNAcentral. Lineage: Bacteria; Pseudomonadati; Bacteroidota; Flavobacteriia; Flavobacteriales; Flavobacteriaceae.